RNAcentral lists this long non-coding RNA (1224 nucleotides) under Homo sapiens (human). RNAcentral's name for it is "non-protein coding LOXL1-AS1:39". The record is from RNAcentral. Lineage: Eukaryota; Metazoa; Chordata; Mammalia; Primates; Hominidae.
GUCUCCGCCAUGGGCCUGCGCCGCCUCGGGACCGGGGUCAGGGUAGGCCUGCUCGAAGCCGGGGGUGCCCUCGCUGUACAGACUGUGCGAGUAGCGGCGGUCCAGGCCGUCGGGGGGCGGCGGCGGCGGCGGCACGUAGGGCCUCUCGGGGGCCGGGUAGAAGCCCUGAGGCGGGUACUCGGGCAGCUCUUCGCCGCCGCCGUACUCCUCGUAGCGCGCCCGGGGCUGGUAGGGGUAGAUGACCCCCGCCGAGGCCACGGCCGCCGCCCCCGCGCCCACGCCGCCGCCCGCGGGCCGGUAGUACACGAAACCCUGGUCGUAGGUCCGCGACGCGGGGUCGUAGUUCUCGUACUGGCUGACGAAGGGCGCCUGCGGGUAGGGGAACUGCUGCGGGUAGGAGGGCUGCUGGCGGUAGGUGCUGGCGAAGGCCGAAGCCGAGACCGAGGAGGCGGAGCCCCCGUGCCGUUGCUGGGAGACGGAGGACUGGACCUGGAUCCUGGGCCUGCAGUCAGAUUGCCAGUUUCACUUAGAGGUGGAAAUGUCAACCCACUGGUUGGAAUGGGAAGAGACUGGGUCCCACCAUAUUGCCUGGGCUGGCCUCGGACUCUUGACCCCAAGUGAUCCUCUGGCCUCAGCCUCCCAAGCAGCUGGAUUUACAGGCAGGCACCACCGCACCGAGCUAAAAACGCCUGGCUUCCCUGGGCCUGCUGCACCUGCUCUGGCUAGGUUGGAGAGGGCUGCAGGGAGGACCGCAGUCAGCAGAGGGCGCCAAAGCCUCUCAACACAAGCAUGGCCCAGGCCUGGCCCAGAAGGAGAGCGCUGAGAGCCAGGACUGGCGGGCUACGUGCGCCCUGUGGAUUCCCCCAUUUCCCAUGCUUCAUCCAGCCAUGGGCCUGCAGUGCACUCACAAAUGUGCAUAUACCCUCCUGUGUGUGUGUUACACUCAUCAAAUUGUCUCUGAAUUUGCUUGGCUUCAUGUGUUCCUGUGUGUGUUUAUGUGUGUGUGUGGUGUGUCUGGUGUAUCUGGUUCCCCAGGAAGCACAUUUGACAGCCCCACAGUCAGGGUCAGGGCACAGGGACAGAUACUGUGUCUAUAACAAUCCAUAACACUGAUUUUGUUCAUCUCAAUAAAUGUGAGAAUGAAAUAAAAAUUAAUGUAGAAUAUUUUGUACAUCUCAAUAAAGCCACUUUCUGGGGGCAGGCAUUAUAAUUCUAGCCUCUGUU